GACGAACGCUGGCGGCGUGCUUAACACAUGCAAGUCGAACGCUGAAGCUCAGCUUUUGUUGGGUGGAUGAGUGGCGAACGGGUGAGUAACACGUGAGUAACCUGCCCCCUUCUUUGGGAUAACGCCCGGAAACGGGUGCUAAUACUGGAUAUUCACUGGUCUUCGCAUGGGGGUUGGUGGAAAGGGUUUUUCUGGUGGGGGAUGGGCUCGCGGCCUAUCAGCUUGUUGGUGGGGUGAUGGCCUACCAAGGCUUUGACGGGUAGCCGGCCUGAGAGGGUGACCGGUCACAUUGGGACUGAGAUACGGCCCAGACUCCUACGGGAGGCAGCAGUGGGGAAUAAUGCACAAUGGGCGGAAGAAUGAUGCAGCGCCGCAGCGUGAGGGAUGGAGGCCUUCGGGUUGUGAACCUCUUUCGCUCAUGGUCAAGCCGCAACAAUGGUUGUGGUAAGGGUAGUGGGUAAAGAAGCGCCGGCUAACUACGUG
This 483-nucleotide ribosomal RNA is filed under the name uncultured bacterium. RNAcentral's name for it is "partial 16S ribosomal RNA". It matches the Rfam family "Bacterial small subunit ribosomal RNA", at positions 28 to 507 of the family's 1533-position model. The record is from RNAcentral.